ACUCCUCCACCCUCUACCUUUUUCGGAAGGCAUUGGGCUGGUAUUUGGGAGCUUGCGGGUCCCUGGCCGAUCCGCUCUCCUUGAAUACAUUAGCGAAGCCCUUGCGGCCUUGGUGUGAUAGUCAUCUACGCCUCGGCUUAGCGAACAUACGGGGACUCGCUUCCAACCGUCUCGCAAGAGACAACUACUACCA
This 193-nucleotide unclassified non-coding RNA is filed under the name Peniophora pithya. RNAcentral describes it as "partial internal transcribed spacer 2". The record is from RNAcentral. Lineage: Eukaryota; Fungi; Basidiomycota; Agaricomycetes; Russulales; Peniophoraceae.